GGUAUAUGAUUGAAGUGCUGGAGUUCAAACUCCUGUAUGAUACAAAAAUAAUCGUACACCAAAGCUGGAUUUUGCAUUGGGCUCAUCGACUAUCACAUAGCAAAUUCAGACCCCAGGGGUUUUGCACACCAAGACUCUCGAGAAAUCACUGGAAGCACUUGAUAAUUCUGUUAUCUAGGAACCAUAGUUGUGACACUAACAUUGUUCGAUGAAGGUGAUGAAGAGGCUCCUUC
Molecule: long non-coding RNA, 233 nt
Filed under: Daucus carota (carrot)
Lineage: Eukaryota; Viridiplantae; Streptophyta; Magnoliopsida; Apiales; Apiaceae
Description: long non-coding RNA (DCAR_LNC000753)
Source: RNAcentral